Molecule: non-coding RNA, 94 nt
Organism: Acanthosepion pharaonis
Lineage: Eukaryota; Metazoa; Mollusca; Cephalopoda; Sepiida; Sepiidae
Source: the annotation of a GenBank genome assembly
AGGCACACGUUCCCGUACGAUCACCGAAGUUAAACAACGCCGUGCCUAGUCAGAACCUAGACGGGUGACCGCUUGGGAACACCAGGUGUUGAAA